UAGGGAAUCUUCCACAAUGGGCGAGAGCCUGAUGGAGCAACGCCGCGUGUGUGAUGAAGGGUUUCGGCUCGUAAAACACUGUUGUAAGAGAAGAAUGACAUUGAGAGUAACUGUUCAAUGUGUGACGGUAUCUUACCAGAAAGGAACGGCUAAAUACGUGCCAC
RNAcentral lists this ribosomal RNA (164 nucleotides) under uncultured bacterium. RNAcentral describes it as "partial 16S rRNA". It matches the Rfam family "Bacterial small subunit ribosomal RNA", at positions 355 to 511 of the family's 1533-position model. The record is from RNAcentral.